RNAcentral lists this long non-coding RNA (360 nucleotides) under Carica papaya (papaya). RNAcentral describes it as "long non-coding RNA (CPAP_LNC001189)". The record is from RNAcentral. Lineage: Eukaryota; Viridiplantae; Streptophyta; Magnoliopsida; Brassicales; Caricaceae.
UAAUACAUAGGUUAAAUGAUAGAAACUUGUGGAAAUAAUUAGAAUAUAAAAGUGGGAUCGAAUUUUAUCGUAGCACGAUUUCAGUCACCAUAAUUGCCACACACCACCAUACACGGGUCCCUAAUUCACCACAUGCUGCCAUUAGAGCAUUGUAUGCCACCUCACACUCGGCUAUUGGAACCAACACAUGCCACUAAAACCACCCACGCACCAACAUGUUUUGGCUAGAAAUCAUCACAGAAUAAGUCGCGCAUGUAAAUCCGGCUUGAAAAUGUUAGAAUCGUCCUGGAGAAAGGUUUGGAUGCAUGGAACCAUGCCUAGCCAACAUCAUGGUUCUCCUUCUUCUCUGCUAGUACCGUU